This 72-nucleotide transfer RNA is filed under the name Schistocerca americana (American grasshopper). RNAcentral's name for it is "tRNA-Asp". It matches the Rfam family "tRNA". From Rfam's summary of the family: Transfer RNA (tRNA) molecules are approximately 80 nucleotides in length. Their secondary structure includes four short double-helical elements and three loops (D, anti-codon, and T loops). Further hydrogen bonds mediate the characteristic L-shaped molecular structure. tRNAs have two regions of fundamental functional importance: the anti-codon, which is responsible for specific mRNA codon recognition, and the 3' end, to which the tRNAs corresponding amino acid is attached (by aminoacyl-tRNA synthetases). tRNAs cope with the degeneracy of the genetic code in two manners: having more than one tRNA (with a specific anti-codon) for a particular amino acid; and 'wobble' base-pairing, i.e. permitting non-standard base-pairing at the 3rd anti-codon position. RNAcentral also lists the same sequence under 3 other names. The record is from RNAcentral. Lineage: Eukaryota; Metazoa; Arthropoda; Insecta; Orthoptera; Acrididae.
UCCUCGGUAGUAUAGUGGUUAGUAUCCCCGCCUGUCACGCGGGAGACCGGGGUUCGACUCCCCGCCGGGGAG